AUUGAACGCUGGCGGCAGGCCUAACACAUGCAAGUCGAGCGGAUGAAGGGAGCUUGCUCCUGGAUUCAGCGGCGGACGGGUGAGUAAUGCCUAGGAAUCUGCCUGGUAGUGGGGGAUAACGUCCGGAAACGGGCGCUAAUACCGCAUACGUCCUGAGGGAGAAAGUGGGGGAUCUUCGGACCUCACGCUAUCAGAUGAGCCUAGGUCGGAUUAGCUAGUUGGUGGGGUAAAGGCCUACCAAGGCGACGAUCCGUAACUGGUCUGAGAGGAUGAUCAGUCACACUGGAACUGAGACACGGUCCAGACUCCUACGGGAGGCAGCAGUGGGGAAUAUUGGACAAUGGGCGAAAGCCUGAUCCAGCCAUGCCGCGGGUGGGAAGAAGGUCUUCGGAUUGUAAAGCACUUUAAGUUGGGAGGAAGGGCAGUAAGUUAAUACCUUGCUGUGUUGACGUUACCAACAGAAUAAGCACCGGCUAACUUCGUG
Molecule: ribosomal RNA, 484 nt
Filed under: uncultured bacterium
Lineage: Bacteria
Description: partial 16S ribosomal RNA
Rfam family: Bacterial small subunit ribosomal RNA
Source: RNAcentral